AGCCCCUGCUCCUGGCGGAGCGAGCUAGCCUGCGAAUUUCAGCAUGAGUGUACUGCUGAGGUCAGGUUUGGGGCCGCUGUGUGCCGUGGCGCGCGCAGCCAUUCCUUUUAUUUGGAGAGGGAAAUACUUCAGCUCCGGGAAUGAGCCUGCAGAAAACCCGGUGACGCCGAUGCUGCGGCAUCUUAUGUACAAAAUAAAGUCUACUGGUCCCAUCACUGUGGCCGAGUACAUGAAGGAGGUGUUGACUAAUCCAGCCAAGGGUUAUUAUGUGUACCGUGACAUGCUAGGCGAAAAAGGAGAUUUCAUUACUUCACCUGAAAUAAGUCAAAUCUUUGGGGAGCUACUAGGUAUAUGGUUCAUUAGUGAAUGGAUGGCCACUGGAAAAAGCACAGCUUUCCAGCUGGUGGAACUGGGCCCAGGUAGGGGAACCCUCGUGGGAGAUAUUUUGAGGGUGUUCACUCAACUUGGAUCUGUGCUGAAAAAUUGUGACAUUUCAGUACAUCUGGUAGAGGUAAGCCAAAAAUUAAGUGAGAUUCAAGCAUUGACACUGACUGAAGAGAAGGUCCCAUUAGAGCGAAAUGCUGGAUCCCCAGUGUAUAUGAAAGGUGUCACUAAGUCUGGGAUUCCAAUUUCCUGGUACCGAGAUCUGCAUGAUGUUCCAAAAGGUAAUUACCUUUAUGUGGAUUAAUGAAAGAAUUUUGAUCACAACCCUCACAGUAUUGAUGGGACUGUAACUUUUUACAGCAAUAUAAUAGAUUGAGUUACUGCUUGCCAAGUCCCUUAUCCAUAGAGAGUAGCCUACUUUUUUCUAGAAAAGAGCAUCUUAAUAGAAAAUAAAGUUGCCUGAUAUUAAGUAGUAGUUUAUUUCAUGAAGCUUUGUAAAAUCCCAAACAAAAUGUAAAUCUCCUUUGUACUUUUGAGUAUUUCCCUAUAGCUAGGGUUGUACCGAUGACGGAGUAGCCCAAGGCAGCUGGGGCUGAUGGAAGCAGUGUUAGUAGGUGGGUUUAGUUCAGUUAUAGAGUCUUUUAAAAAAUCCUUACUUGCCUAAAGACAAGCAAGGUGUGGGGGAAAAAUCCCUGUACUAGUCAGGAAUACUGACUAGUAUUGACUAGUUUGAGUCUUGACUCAAAGCCAAAGUGGGGGUACGAUCUUGGGUAAGGGAUCUCAAGCCAUUCCUGCCUCAGCCUUCUCAGGCUGAGAAGCCCGAUUUUAUGAAAUCAAAUUCCCUUCCAGCUAACAAUUCUGACUUCUAAUUUCUUUCAAGCCUUGUGAUGAAUAAAAGCUUUAACUGCUAUUUCAGGUAUUUCCAUUUUCUGACCCCAUUUAUGUGUAAAAUAAGAAUAGUAAUAAUUGUUCUAUGUUCUGCAGUGUAAGUUUUCCAUGAAGAGGUAGAUAAUUCUGUGGUAGUGAUGAUUAUGGAGGAAGUAGGCAUUUUUUUUACAGUUAAUAUUCAAAAGAAUUAAUUCCUGUGAAAUGUGGAAACAUUAAUUGUUUUCCUCUUUUUAAAUAGGGUACAGCUUUUAUCUUGCACAUGAAUUUUUUGAUGUUCUUCCUGUGCAUAAAUUUCAGGUUUCUGAUAAACUGAGGUUUGUUUUGGCACCUUCUGCCACCCCAGCAGAAGCCUUCAUACAACAUGACGAAACAAGGGAUCAUGUUGAAGUGUGUCCUGACGCUGGUGUUAUCAUCGAGGAACUUUCUCAACGCAUUGCAUUAACUGGAGGUGCUGCACUGGUUGCUGAUUAUGGUCAUGAUGGAACAAAGACAGAUACCUUCAGAGGGUUUUGCGACCACAAGCUUCAUGAUGUCUUAAUUGCCCCAGGAACAGCAGAUCUAACAGCUGAUGUGGACUUCAGUUAUUUGCGAAGAAUGGCACAGGGAAAAGUAGCCUCUCUGGGCCCAAUAAAACAACACACAUUUUUAAAAAAUAUGGGUAUUGAUGUCCGGCUGAAGGUUCUUUUAGAUAAAUCAAAUGAGCCAUCAGUGAGGCAGCAGUUACUUCAAGGAUAUGAUAUGUUAAUGAAUCCAAAGAAGAUGGGAGAGAGAUUUAACUUUUUUGCCUUGCUACCUCAUCAGAGACUUCAAGGUGGAAGCUAUCAGAGGAAUGCACGUCAGUCAAAACCCUUUGCAUCCGUUGUAGCUGGGUUUAGUGAACUUGCUUGGCAGUGAUAUUUCAGCUUGGACAUUUUACUCUUCAGUCGGCCCAAGAAAUCAAAAUAAAGGAAACACAUUUCAUACACUGCAGGUAACAAAAGUCAAAGUAUUUUAUCUUUCCACAGCAAGAACAGUCCAUGUUGUAUAUAAUACAACCAACAUUAUAGAACUUUUAGGGUUGUGACUGGCUUUGGUGCAAAUGUGUGCUCAAGCUAAUAAGUUAUUGUGAAACUGAGUUUCCUUUAACUUACAAAGCUAGUUGCCAUAUUUCUAUUUUAUUUUAAAAAGUAAACAUGCGGCUGGGCGUGGUGGCUCAUGCCUGUAAUCCCAGCACUUUGGGAGGCUGAGGUGGGCAUAUCACCUGAGGUCAGCAGUUAAAGACCAGCCUGACCAAAAUGGAGAAACCCCAUCUCUACUAAAAAUACAAAACUAGCCGGGUAUGGUGGUACAUGCCGGUAAUCCCAGCUACUCAGGAGGCUGAGACAGGAGAAUCACUUGAACCUGGGAGGUGGAGGUUGCGGUGAGCUGAGAUCGUGCCACUGCACUCCAGCCUGGGCAACAAGAGCAAAACUCCCUCUCAAAAAAAAAAGUAAACAUGGGCACUGAUGGUUUUAAUAAAAAUGGGAAACAGACUAAAUGGCUAUUCACAGGAAACUGAUAAGAUAUAUGUUAUUUUUUUUAAAUGAGCUAGGGCAAUAUGUUUUGACAGAAAACUCUUAAGAUUUAGUAAGUGAAAAAAAGUAGGAUGCAAGAGUUUUUAUAGUUGAUUCCAUUUUUGUUGAAGGAGAAAAACUAAAUAAAUACAAGUAAUUUCAUAGAAACGAA
This 2976-nucleotide small RNA is filed under the name Pan troglodytes (chimpanzee). Its description in RNAcentral is "retained intron". Lineage: Eukaryota; Metazoa; Chordata; Mammalia; Primates; Hominidae. The record is from RNAcentral.